AACGUAGGUGGCGAGCGUUAUCCGGAUUCAUUGGGCGUAAAGAGCUUGUAGGCGGCGUCAUAAGUUGGACGUGAAAACUCCGGGCUUAACUUGGAGAGGCCGUUCAAUACUGUGAGGCUAGAGGGUGUCAGAGGGAAGUAGAAUUCCUGGUGUAGCAGUGAAAUGCGUAGAUAUCAGGAGGAACACCGGUGGCGAAGGCGGGUCUCUGGGCCGAUACUGACGCUGAGGAGCGAAAGCGUGGGGAGCGAACAGG
This 253-nucleotide ribosomal RNA is filed under the name uncultured bacterium. RNAcentral describes it as "partial 16S ribosomal RNA". It matches the Rfam family "Bacterial small subunit ribosomal RNA", at positions 524 to 776 of the family's 1533-position model. The record is from RNAcentral.